CCUUUGUGGUUCAUAAGUGUGAUGAUUGAGUUUUCAUGCUGUUGUUGAGAUGUACCUCUUUAAGCCUUGCUAUAACACUGGCACAUUACUCAUCUGAC
RNAcentral lists this small nucleolar RNA (98 nucleotides) under Marmota monax (woodchuck). It matches the Rfam family "Small nucleolar RNA U13". The record is from RNAcentral. Lineage: Eukaryota; Metazoa; Chordata; Mammalia; Rodentia; Sciuridae.